Molecule: ribosomal RNA, 473 nt
Filed under: uncultured bacterium
Lineage: Bacteria
Description: SSU rRNA
Rfam family: Bacterial small subunit ribosomal RNA
Source: RNAcentral
AGGACGAACGCUGGCGGCGCGCUUAACACAUGCAAGUCGAACGUGAAGCUGGAGCUUGCUCCGGUGGAAAGUGGCGAACGGGUGCGUAACACGUGAGCAACCUGCCCCGAAGACUGGGAUAACACCGGGAAACCGGUGCUAAUACCGGAUACCUUCUUCCGAUCGCAUGGUUGGAUGAAGAAAUGGAUUCCGCUUCGGGAUGGGCUCGCGGCCUAUCAGCUUGUUGGUGAGGUAACGGCCCACCAAGGCGACGACGGGUAGCUGGUCUGAGAGGACGACCAGCCACACUGGGACUGAGACACGGCCCAGACUCCUACGGGAGGCAGCAGUGGGGAAUCUUGCUCAAUGGGCGAAAGCCUGAAGCAGCGACGCCGCGUGCGGGAUGAAGGCCCUCGGGUUGUAAACCGCUUUCAGCAGGGACGAAUUGACGGUACCUGCAGAAGACGGCCCGGCCACUACGCGCCAGCAGCCGC